CGGCGUAUAGCUUAAUGCAAAGCACCUGCCUGUCACGCAGGAAGAUAUCAGUUCAUUUCUGAUUACGUCGG
This 71-nucleotide transfer RNA is filed under the name Candidatus Atribacteria bacterium. RNAcentral describes it as "tRNA-Asp". It matches the Rfam family "tRNA". Rfam says of the family: Transfer RNA (tRNA) molecules are approximately 80 nucleotides in length. Their secondary structure includes four short double-helical elements and three loops (D, anti-codon, and T loops). Further hydrogen bonds mediate the characteristic L-shaped molecular structure. tRNAs have two regions of fundamental functional importance: the anti-codon, which is responsible for specific mRNA codon recognition, and the 3' end, to which the tRNAs corresponding amino acid is attached (by aminoacyl-tRNA synthetases). tRNAs cope with the degeneracy of the genetic code in two manners: having more than one tRNA (with a specific anti-codon) for a particular amino acid; and 'wobble' base-pairing, i.e. permitting non-standard base-pairing at the 3rd anti-codon position. The record is from RNAcentral. Lineage: Bacteria; Pseudomonadati; Atribacterota; Atribacteria.